Molecule: ribosomal RNA, 431 nt
Filed under: uncultured bacterium
Lineage: Bacteria
Description: partial 16S ribosomal RNA
Rfam family: Bacterial small subunit ribosomal RNA
Source: RNAcentral
AACGAACGCUGGCGGCAGGCUUAACACAUGCAAGUCGAACGCCCCGCAAGGGGAGUGGCAGACGGGUGAGUAACGCGUGGGAACAUACCCUUUUCUACGGAAUAGCUCUGGGAAACUGGAAUUAAUACCGUAUACGCCCUACGGGGGAAAGAUUUAUCGGGGAAGGAUUGGCCCGCGUUGGAUUAGCUAGUUGGUGGGGUAAAGGCCUACCAAGGCGACGAUCCAUAGCUGGUCUGAGAGGAUGAUCAGCCACAUUGGGACUGAGACACGGCCCAAACUCCUACGGGAGGCAGCAGUGGGGAAUAUUGGACAAUGGGCGCAAGCCUGAUCCAGCCAUGCCGCGUGAGUGAUGAAGGCCUUAGGGUUGUAAAGCUCUUUCACCGAUGUAGAUAAUGACGGUAGUCGGAGAAGAAGCCCCGGCUAACUUCGUG